CAAAAUUGAAAACUGCUUAGAGUAAACACCUAAUUCUGCAAAAACAAACAUCAAACAACAUUUGUCUUUAAUAAUUUGCUUGAAUACAUGAAAACUAGGGAUGUCAACAAAUGCUCGAGUAAUCCGAUUAUCGAUUAUCGAUUUCUUUACCAAUACUCGACUAAUCGGUUUCCUGCUAGAAUGGUGCUGCUUUCUAAACCUUUAACAAC
This 209-nucleotide long non-coding RNA is filed under the name Mytilus galloprovincialis (Mediterranean mussel). Lineage: Eukaryota; Metazoa; Mollusca; Bivalvia; Mytilida; Mytilidae. The record is from RNAcentral.